AACGAACGCUGGCGGCAGGCUUAACACAUGCAAGUCGAGCGCCCCGCAAGGGGCGCGGCAGACGGGUGAGUAACGCGUGGGAACGUACCCUUAUCUUCGGGAUAGCCCCGGGAAACUGGAAUUAAUACCGAAUGUGCCCUUUGGGGGAAAGAUUUAUCGGAUAAGGAUCGGCCCGCGUUGGAUUAGCUAGUUGGUGGGGUAAAGGCCUACCAAGGCGACGAUCCAUAGCUGGUCUGAGAGGAUGAUCAGCCACAUUGGGACUGAGACACGGCCCAAACUCCUACGGGAGGCAGCAGUGGGGAAUAUUGGACAAUGGGCGCAAGCCUGAUCCAGCCAUGCCGCGUGAGUGAUGAAGGCCUUAGGGUUGUAAAGCUCUUUCACCGGAGAAGAUAAUGACGGUAUCCGGAGAAGAAGCCCCGGCUAACUUCGUG
Molecule: ribosomal RNA, 431 nt
Filed under: uncultured bacterium
Lineage: Bacteria
Description: partial 16S ribosomal RNA
Rfam family: Bacterial small subunit ribosomal RNA
Source: RNAcentral